This 474-nucleotide ribosomal RNA is filed under the name uncultured bacterium. RNAcentral's name for it is "bacterial SSU rRNA". It matches the Rfam family "Bacterial small subunit ribosomal RNA", at positions 1 to 460 of the family's 1533-position model. The record is from RNAcentral.
UAGAGUUUGAUCAUGGGCUCAGGCAUGAACGCUGGCGGCGAUGCCUAAUACAUGCAAGUCGAGCGAAUGGAUUAAGAGCUUGCUCUUAUGAAGUUAGCGGCGGACGGGUGAGUAACACGUGGGUAACCUGCCCAUAAGACUGGGAUAACUCCGGGAAACCGGGGCUAAUACCGGAUAACAUUUUGAACCGCAUGGUUCGAAAUUGAAAGGCGGCUUCGGCUGUCACUUAUGGAUGGACCCGCGUCGCAUUAGCUAGUUAGGUGAGGUAACGGCUCACCAAGGCAACGAUGCGUAGCCGACCUAGAGAGGGUGAUCGGCCACACUGGGACUGAGACACGGGCCAGACUCCUACGUGGAGGCAGGCAAGUAGGGAAUCUUCCGCAAUUGGACGAAAGUCUGACGGAGCAACGCCGCGUGAGUGAUGAAGGCUUUCGGGUCGUAAAACUCUGUUGUUAGGGAAGAACAAGUGCUAAU